This 339-nucleotide long non-coding RNA is filed under the name Elaeis guineensis (African oil palm). Its description in RNAcentral is "long non-coding RNA (EGUI_LNC039600)". The record is from RNAcentral. Lineage: Eukaryota; Viridiplantae; Streptophyta; Magnoliopsida; Arecales; Arecaceae.
GCCAGGAAAAGGCAAUCAUCUGCAAAUAACAAUUGGAAAAUUGAUCGAGCUCCCUAUGCUAGACAAUAAGUGUCCAAGGCCUGGUUCAUACAAGUGGCACACAAAGCAAGAGAUAGGUUGUCAACAUAAGUAAUGAAAAAAUAGGAGGAUAUGAGACAACUUUGGCGAAGGCCAAUUGAGGAGUGGAAGUAGGUAGACGAUGUGCUGUUGAUCAAAAUAGAGAAGAAAGGGGCCUGAAUGCAGCUCAAUAUCCAUAUAAUCCACACCUCAUGAAACCCAAAGCUCUCUAAAGCACCACAAAGGAAUCACCAAUAGACUAUCAUAGGUUUUCUCCAUAUC